Molecule: small nuclear RNA, 105 nt
Organism: Suncus etruscus (white-toothed pygmy shrew)
Lineage: Eukaryota; Metazoa; Chordata; Mammalia; Eulipotyphla; Soricidae
Source: RefSeq, a predicted model, not a curated record
GAACUCACUUUUGGCAGCACAUACAAUAAAAUUGAAAUAAUAUAGAGAAAUUAUCAUGGCCCCUGCAGGUGUAAUAUGCAUAUUAUUGAAGCAUUCCAUAUUUUA